This 465-nucleotide ribosomal RNA is filed under the name uncultured bacterium. RNAcentral describes it as "partial 16S ribosomal RNA". It matches the Rfam family "Bacterial small subunit ribosomal RNA", at positions 28 to 507 of the family's 1533-position model. The record is from RNAcentral.
GACGAACGCUGGCGGCGUGCUUAACACAUGCAAGUCGAACGGAAAGGCCCUGCUUGCAGGGUACUCGAGUGGCGAACGGGUGAGUAACACGUGGGUGAUCUGCCCUGCCUUUCGGGUUAAGCCUGGGAAACUGGGUCUAAUACCGGCUAGGUGCUACUUUUAGUGUGAUGGUUGGAUAGUUUUUUCGGUGUAGGAUGUGUUCGCGGGCUAUCAGCUUGUUGGUGGGGUAAUGGCCUACCAAGGCGGCGCAGGGUAGCCGGCCUGGGAGGGUGGACGGCCAAAUUGGGGCUGAGAUACGGCCCAGGCUCCUACGGGAGGCAGCAGUGGGGAAUAUUGCAAAAUGGGCGCGAGCCUGAUGCAGCGAAGCCGCGUGGGGGGUGACGGGCUUCGGGUUGUAAACUCCUUUCGCUAGGGACGAAGCUGUUUGUGACGGUACCUAGAUAAGAAGCGCCGGCUAACUACGUG